This is a non-coding RNA of Aspergillus heteromorphus CBS 117.55, 86 nucleotides long. The record is from the annotation of a RefSeq genome assembly. Lineage: Eukaryota; Fungi; Ascomycota; Eurotiomycetes; Eurotiales; Aspergillaceae.
GGUUGUGUGGGGUAGUGGUUAUCCCUCCGGAUUUUGACUUGUCAUAAUAAUUUCCGGCAACCCCGGUUCGAACCCGGGCACGACCU